UACGUAGGUGGCGAGCGUUAUCCGGAAUUAUUGGGCGUAAAGAGGGAGCAGGCGGCACUAAGGGUCUGUGGUGAAAGAUCGAAGCUUAACUUCGGUAAGCCAUGGAAACCGUAGAGCUAGAGUGUGUGAGAGGAUCGUGGAAUUCCAUGUGUAGCGGUGAAAUGCGUAGAUAUAUGGAGGAACACCAGUGGCGAAGGCGACGAUCUGGCGCAUAACUGACGCUCAGUCCCGAAAGCGUGGGGAGCAAAUAGGAUUAGAUACCCUAGUAGUCCACGCCGUAAACGAUGAGUACUAAGUGUUGGGUGUCAAAGCUCAGUGCUGCAGUUAACGCAAUAAGUACUCCGCCUGAGUAGUACGUUCGCAAGAAUGAA
This 371-nucleotide ribosomal RNA is filed under the name uncultured bacterium. RNAcentral describes it as "bacterial SSU rRNA". It matches the Rfam family "Bacterial small subunit ribosomal RNA", at positions 524 to 898 of the family's 1533-position model. The record is from RNAcentral.